GACGAACGCUGGCGGCGUGCUUAACACAUGCAAGUCGAACGGGCAGCCGGGGUUUUGGCUCGGUUGGUGAGUGGCGAACGGGUGAGUAACACGUGAGUAACCUGCCCCUCUCUUUGGGAUAACGUCGGGAAAUCGGCGCUAAUACCGGGUAUUCUGUCUUCCUCCCAUGGGGUUGUUGGGAAAGGUCUUUUUUGGUGGGGGUUGUGGUCGCGGCCUAUCAGCUUGUUGGUGGGGUGAUGGCCUACCAAGGCGGUGACGGGUAGCCGGCCGGGGAGGGUGUGCGGCGACCACGGGCCUGAGACCCGGCACAGGCUCCUGCGGGAGACAGUAGGCAGGAAUGUUGAACAAUGCGCAGCAGCCUGAUGCAGCGGCGACGCGUGGGGGGUGACGGACUUCGGGUUGUAAGCCUCUUUCAGUGCAGAACAAGGCUCUUUGUGGGUUGACGGUAUGCGCAGAAGAAGCGCCGGCUAACUACGUG
Molecule: ribosomal RNA, 478 nt
Filed under: uncultured bacterium
Lineage: Bacteria
Description: partial 16S ribosomal RNA
Rfam family: Bacterial small subunit ribosomal RNA
Source: RNAcentral